GAUGAAGAACGCAGCGAAAUGCGAUAAGUAAUGUGAAUUGCAGAAUUCAGUGAAUCAUCGAAUCUUUGAACGCACAUUGCGCCCGCCAGUAUUCUGGCGGGCAUGCCUGUUCGAGCGUCAUUACAACCCUCAGGCCCCCGGGCCUGGCGUUGGGGAUCGGCGGAGCCCCCCGUGGGCACACGCCGUCCCCCAAAUACCGUGGCGGUCCCGCCGCAGCUUCCAUCGCGUAGUAGCUAACACCUCGCGACUGGAGAGCGGCGCGGCCACGCCGUAAAACACCCAACUCUUCUGAAGUUGACCUCGAAUCAGGUAGGAAUACCCGCUGAACUUAAGCAUAUCAAUAAGCGGAGGA
RNAcentral lists this unclassified non-coding RNA (352 nucleotides) under soil metagenome. Its description in RNAcentral is "partial contains 5.8S ribosomal RNA, internal transcribed spacer 2, and large subunit ribosomal RNA". The stretch from base 1 to 120 matches the Rfam family "5.8S ribosomal RNA", at positions 35 to 154 of the family's 154-position model. The record is from RNAcentral.